RNAcentral lists this unclassified non-coding RNA (267 nucleotides) under uncultured Actinomycetes bacterium. RNAcentral's name for it is "uncultured actinobacterium contains 16S-23S intergenic spacer region". Lineage: Bacteria; Bacillati; Actinomycetota; Actinomycetes. The record is from RNAcentral.
UCCGGUUUGGCACCGGCAGUCUCCCUAGAGUUCCCGGCAUUACCCGCUUUCACGGGUUUCACCCUGCAUGUCAAGCCCAGGUAAGGUUCUUCGCGUCGCAUCGAAUUAAGCCGCAUGCUCCGCCGCUUGUGCGGGCCCCCGUCAAUUCCUUUGAGUUUUAGCCUUGCGGCCGUACUCCCCAGGCGGGGUGCUUAAUGCGUUAGCUUCGGCACGGAUGGGGUCGAUGUCCACCCACACCUAGCACCCAACGUUUACGGCUAGGACUAC